Molecule: ribosomal RNA, 326 nt
Filed under: uncultured eukaryote
Lineage: Eukaryota
Description: partial 18S ribosomal RNA
Rfam family: Eukaryotic small subunit ribosomal RNA
Source: RNAcentral
CCCUUAGAUGUUCUGGGCCGCACGCGCGCUACACUGAUGAAUUCAACAAGCCUAGCCUUGUCCGAAAGGUCCGGGUAAUCUCUGAAACUUCAUCGUGAUGGGGAUAGAUUAUUGCAAUUAUUAAUCUUCAACGAGGAAUGCCUAGUAAGCGUAAGUCAUCAGCUUGCGUUGAUUACGUCCCUGCCCUUUGUACACACCGCCCGUCGCUCCUACCGAUUGAAUGGUCCGGUGAAGCGUUUGGACUAUGGUUUUCUGACGGUUCGCCAUUGGAUUACCGUGGGAAAUUCGUUAAACCUUAUCAUUUAGAGGAAGGAGAAGUCGUAACA